UAUUGACAACCAUAUUGAUGGUUAUGCUGUCCAUAAGUUGGUGAAUGAUGCAGCAAUCAUUGAGUCAUUGGAGAGCCGAAUUCCAGCUGAUCAGGGUGUGGACGAGGCGGCUGCUGAUGUUUCACUUAGUGAUAUGUCAACUCAAAACCCUUUUGCUCUAAAGGAUGCCGUGGAUUCUAUUGGUGAUAGCUUCACACCCGAUUGCACAUCUAAAGAUUGUUCUAAGACUUCGUCUUCGGAAUUGAAACGUAACCUUGCUGACGUGUAUGAAGUUGAAGA
Long non-coding RNA from Helianthus annuus (common sunflower), 279 nucleotides. RefSeq lists it as uncharacterized. The transcript has 3 exons. The record is from RefSeq and is a predicted model, not a curated record. Lineage: Eukaryota; Viridiplantae; Streptophyta; Magnoliopsida; Asterales; Asteraceae.